GGAUUAGAUACCCUGGUAGUCCACGCCGUAAACGAUGUCUACUAGCCGUUGGGACCCUUGAGGUCUUAGUGGCGCAGCUAACGCACUAAGUAGACCGCCUGGGGAGUACGGUCGCAAGAUUAAAACUCAAAUGAAUUGACGGGGGCCCGCACAAGCGGUGGAGCAUGUGGUUUAAUUCGAAGCAACGCGAAGAACCUUACCAGGUCUUGACAUCCAGAGAACUUACUAGAGAUAGUUUGGUGCCUUCGGGAACUCUGUGACAGGUGCUGCAUGGCUGUCGUCAGCUCGUGCCG
This 293-nucleotide ribosomal RNA is filed under the name uncultured bacterium. RNAcentral's name for it is "partial 16S ribosomal RNA". It matches the Rfam family "Bacterial small subunit ribosomal RNA", at positions 775 to 1067 of the family's 1533-position model. The record is from RNAcentral.